GUGCCAGCAGCCGCGGUAAUACCGGCAGCUCGAGUGAUAGCCACUAUUAUUGGGCCUAAAGCGUCCGUAGCCGGCCGAACAGGUCCGUCGGGAAAUCCACCUGCUCAACAGGUGGACGUCCGGCGGAAACCAGUCGGCUUGGGGCCGGGAGACCAGAGAGGUACGUCCGGGGUAGGAGUGAAAUCCCGUAAUCCUGGACGGACCGCCGGUAGCGAAAGCGUCUCUGGAGAACGGACCCGACGGUGAGGGACGAAAGCUAGGGUCUCGAACCGGAUUAGAAACCCUCGUAGUCC
RNAcentral lists this ribosomal RNA (293 nucleotides) under uncultured prokaryote. RNAcentral describes it as "partial 16S ribosomal RNA". It matches the Rfam family "Archaeal small subunit ribosomal RNA", at positions 455 to 747 of the family's 1478-position model. The record is from RNAcentral.